Salmo salar (Atlantic salmon) is the source of this 3867-nucleotide long non-coding RNA. RefSeq lists it as uncharacterized. NCBI's taxonomy places the organism in Eukaryota, Metazoa, Chordata, Actinopteri, Salmoniformes, Salmonidae. The record is from RefSeq and is a predicted model, not a curated record.
UCCUUCACAACACCAGGAAUCUCAGACAAAGUGUUCACUCUGGUCUUUCUGAAGCGCUGCUUGAUGAGGCUGAAGCAGCAGUCGGGGUUAACUUGGUGUGGCCUGUGAUCAGGAAGUGAAGGUCCAGACUCUGCUGGAGCUUGUGCAUGGUCCGCCAGGCACAGUCCAGAGCACAAACGUGUUCUUGUUUUGGCCACCUCAGUUAUCAAAAUGCAGGUACACACGUGUUUCCCCAACUCCGUGGUUGGUGACGAAAUGGUACAUGUAGUUGAUGACUGCGCUACUGUCUUUGCUGGAUGACAUGCCUUCAGCAAUCAAGUAGUUGACUUGUUCUGGUAUUCCUUCACAGCAGACACCAAACAAGAUACCCUUGCGAGCAGCGAAAAAGUAGAUGGGAGCUAGUUGCAUAGGGAGCUCAUUUUUCAGCUGCUGCUGCUCAAAUUGGAGUUCCGGGAACCAUGAUAGAUGGAAACAGAUCCAAAUGGACAUAGAGGAGAAGGCAGAGAUUGAGAAGAAGACACAGGAAAAGAUGCAAGAUGGAAAGAGGCGGUGAAGAGGCAAGAAGAGGAAAGAAUGAAAGUGAUGGAAAGACAGAGACAAAUUGACAUAGAACAGUGGUCACCAACCUUUUCUGAGUCAAUAUCACUUUGAGUCAAUUUGCAAGCCGAGAUCUACCGCUCAGAUUGUUUUUAAACAUUACUUAAAUUACGUAAGCCUAUGCAACAUUAACCAAUUAAAAACCGCUCUGUAGCAAUGAGGUUUGUUCUGUAGCCUAUUGGCCCAAUACAUUAUCACUGCAUAUUGGCUGUGCUUGAAUUGCCCUGCACAUGUUGUUAUUCUCAGACUAAUUAGAAAGUAUAUUUAACAAAUGUAGGUCUAUGAUCACACUGGUAAUAGAUCAUUUGUUGUAUUACUUGUGAGGCACAGCUGAGUGAGCAUAAUAAUGACCUUUUACCUUUUUACUGAACUGAUGGCCUGCAUCUGAUGGUCAGUCUGAGGGGAGGGAGGGAGCAGAGGUGAAACUCACCGUCCCUCAGCUCUCUCUCCCUCUGCUGAGGAAAGGGGACACAGUCGUCCAGCUGAUGGCUAAACUCAAGUCGCACUGCAUUAGUCUCAUGCACCAAUUAAUGUUGGAAGGAAGGAGAAGGAGGAAAGAGAGGGAGAUCGAAACACACAGAGACAGAGACAGAGACAGAUGAAAUCACACCAACCUUCGCUUUGGUUCCCUCUCCUGUCCAGCUCAGGCAUUGGGCGUCACCGGCAUUCUAGCUGCUGCCGAACCUACUGCUGGCAAACGCCCUUCACUCAUCAACCUCGGACUUGUCUCGUCAUCAUUACACACACCUGGUUCCAAUCCCCACUCUAUCACUGUAUAUAUACUCCCUCUGUCAUUUGUCGGUCAUUGUAAAUGUUACUUGUUUUCCUGAAAGGAAUCACUCCUACUAUUUCCUGAGUACUUUAUAUUUUGCACUUUGUGUUCACGCUGUGCAUUUUUUUAUGAAGAUAUAUUUUGAGCACAAUAGCGUUUGGGUUUCAUCCCGCUUUGAUCUACGGUGCUUAAAUAAAUUCAGUAGUUCUAAACCUGCAACUGCCUCCUGCCUACUCUUCUCUACACCAGUGACAGAAGAAGAAGAUAGACAAGAACAGAAGCAAAUUGAUGUGAAGAAAGAGGGAAGAGAGGGAGAAUAAGAGACAGAGAUAGAUAGAAGAAAUAAGAACUUCAAGAGGAGAGAUGGAGAAAGGGAGAGAGAGAAUCAGAAACAGAGAGAGAUGGAAUUAAAAGAAGAGAGACGGAAAGAGAUAAAGAGAGAGAAGAUGAUUAUGAGAGAGAGGGAGGAAGUGAGAAGAAGAGAGGACGAGCAGAGAACAAGUUGAAAUUGAGCGACAGAAAGGAAGAGAAAAGAAAAGCAGAAACUGAUGGAGGAAGCAGAGGAGGAGGAAAGAGAGGAGGUACAGCUAUAGAGGGAUGGGUAGGACUAUCUUUGUCACUCACCAUCUUUUACUUUGUCACUUUCUGAUGGCAAUGAAGUCAAACAGAAGACAGUAAGCAUGGAGAAUGAUGGAAUUAAAAUAGAUUUAAAAGCAGAGGCAUAGGAACGGCUAAUUAGGCAUAAAGAGAGGAGGCUAGAAAUAUUGAAGGGGGAAGAGAACGGAUAGAAGAAGAACAACAAAUCAGGAUGAAGAAGGAGGAAAGACUUAGCAAUGGACAGGCAGCUGGAGAGGGUACAACAACAAGAAGAGCAGGAUAAAAAAGAGAGAAGAUGACAGAGGCAAAAAAGAGGCAGGAGAUGGCAGAAGAGGAAAGAACGGAUGAGAAGUACAAGAGGGGUGAGUUUAGAGAAGCCUGAAGAGGAGGAGAAGAACCCUGAAGAGAAGGAGGACGACAAAGAGGACCUUGCCCCAGCCAAUAAAAGUAUCAGAAGGAGAGCAUUGGGUGAAUAAGAAGUGGGAGAAGAGAAACCUCAAAAAGACAGAGAGAAUGUAUCAGAGAGAGGAGGAGGGCUAUGAGAUCAUCAACAUAGACAUCCCUGGAGCCAUAGGAGCGAUAACAUCCUUCACCACCUGGGCAGAGAGAGAGAGAGAGAGGGAGAAGAGGGAGGGGUUGCUGAAAGCUGAAGAGAAAUGGAAGAAGAUGGAGUAUUUCAAUAAGCAGUGGAGAGAGCAAUCCCUGCUUACAAAACAGACUCAACAGACAGUUAAAGAGGACAGGGAGAGGAGGAAGGAACAGCACCUAAAGAACAGGAGGAGAGAUGACUGGAGAUGAAUCUGGAGGCUGUUUACAUUAGACAUGGCUCCCCUGGCUGUACAUGACCAGCCAGAGGAGCCAGAGAGCCAGCAGGGAGGACCAGAGAGCCAGCAGGGAGGACCAGAGAGACAGCAGGGGGGAGCCAGAGAGCCAGCAGGGAGGACCAGAGAGCCAGCAGGGGGGACCAGAGAGACAGCAGGGGGGACCAGAGAGCCAGCAGGGGAUUUCAGAGGUGGCUGAGAAAUCAGUCAACCACCAAACCAAAGAAAAAGCCAGACAUCUAGAAGAGAAUUAAGUUGUGGUAAAAAAUGUUUAAACAUGUAUUUAUGUUCUACAGUGCUAUUAUAUAUGUCCCCACUUUAAAGAAGUGAUAUUAUCCACAUGUUUGGCUCCAAAUGAGAGGAUUUAGUCAACAUGCAACACACUUGUAAAGAUAAAGAUACUUAGUGAAUACUUUCCUGUCUCUGUGACGUCUUUCAGCAUUCCUGACUUCCUGUUGCUCAGAACUGAAACUGGGCGGAGCCAAAUUACCACUAGAGAUACACUGGUAAUAAAAGUGUCUCCCAAUAAUUCCUCCUCCUCUUCUUCAAGGCCACAUUUCCUCAACAAAACAUUAUAAGCUCCUCAAGUCAGCAGUAUCCUCUUCAUCGAGGCAACAAACAUUCUAAGGUCAGUGACUCUCCUCCCCAGACUAGAGAUUCUAAUCUUUAUCCAAGUUGAAUAUCCUUGUUGAAUUCAACUCUGAUCACCACCUCUGCGGUCCUAGAAGAUAUCCCCAAAUGGACAUGGUUUAAACAGAAGUUAAGCAAGAAGUUAAGCAAGUUCUCUCCCCAAUCAGUGGCUCCACAGACCAGAGAUUCUCAUCUUUAUCCAAGUUGAACACAUCGCUGGUCAGUUCCACCACCCUCCUGUCCUAGACCUACAAGAUAUCUCCCAACUCAACAUGAUGAAACAAUUUGAGAGACACAGGGAAAGCUAUGGAGCAGCACCCCUUGGAUGAAGAGCCAUUUAGGGGUUAAGUGCCUUGAUCUAGGGCACAACGGCAGGAGAUGGUACCUGGGAGCAAAGUACUGUUCAGCUUUAAUAAAAGCAUGAAUUAAAAAAGCGACAUUGUUUUUACG